AUGGACCGAGAUUGCUUUAAUUUGGUCGUACGGAAGAUUAUGUUUGAUGACAUCCAAAUGGCACAAAAAACAAAACAAUUGAUAGACAAACAUUAUCUCGACAUGAAAUUUUGGACUUGCUUGCUGGUGGCUGGUGCCCUGCAGGGACCAGGUGGUGCCGUCGGCCGCGGCGCCGCCGCCACCGUUCGUUGCAGCAGCUAG
RNAcentral lists this ribosomal RNA (201 nucleotides) under Triticum aestivum (bread wheat). Its description in RNAcentral is "partial small subunit ribosomal RNA". Lineage: Eukaryota; Viridiplantae; Streptophyta; Magnoliopsida; Poales; Poaceae. The record is from RNAcentral.